UACAGAGGGGGCAAGCGUUAUUCGGAAUUAUUGGGCGUAAAGGGCGCGUAGGCGGCGAUUCAAGUGACGGGUGAAAUCCCUCGGCUUAACCGAGGAACUGCCUGUCAGACUGGAUUGCUUGAGGCCGGGAGAGGCGAGUGGAAUUCCCAGUGUAGCGGUGAAAUGCGUAGAUAUUGGGAGGAACACCAGUGGCGAAGGCGGCCAUCUGGGAGGGCACUGACGCUGAGACGCGAAAGCGUGGGGAGCAAACAGG
Molecule: ribosomal RNA, 253 nt
Filed under: uncultured bacterium
Lineage: Bacteria
Description: partial 16S ribosomal RNA
Rfam family: Bacterial small subunit ribosomal RNA
Source: RNAcentral